UGGAGGAUAUCAUAGAUACAUUUAAUAAAUUGUAUUGUAUUCAAUGGAGAUAAUUUAAAUACACAAUAUAAUUUAUUAAGACAUAUUUGCAGGUAUACAUUGAACAUGUUUUCUCCAACCAAGAAGGUUUGAUAUUGAAUGCUUUUUUUUUUUUUUUUUUUUUUUUUUUUAUCAAACUUCGAUCUGAUCAGUCUCGUAGAUUAUAAACGAGUAAUUCGUUUAUAGUUACACAUUGUUACUCUUCUAACGUCUUUUUCUUUGUGCUAUUAAAAAAAAACUCACAAUUUUCCACAUCAGAUCGACAUUUAUAUAUAUAUAUGAAUACUGGAAAUCUUUUUUCCGUCCGACACCACGCUCCCCACAAGAGCCCCAAGAUAUAAUCAUACCUGUCAAUCACUAGCCGCAAGUUGAACAUUUUGGCCAGCCUUCCUCGUGCUUUCAAUUAUGAUGACAUCGUUGCGAAUUUAUUUUUUUUAAAUUGACAUGUGAAAAGAAUAAAGUGAUGGGAAGUUUAUUUUACGACCUAUCAGAACUUCUUGUGAUUCUAAUAAGAUUUUUCUUAGGCCGCAUUUCUUUCUAACAAGAAUUUUGUAAACGUUGUGUCGCGUGUGUUACUGUUUUCUAAACGAUACACGAGUAGAAACAAAUACAUCGUUUGAUAAAUCUUUAAUGACCCUGUUUGAAUUUUCAAUAAUGCAUGCACAUGUUGUUGGUAAUCAGACUUUUUUACAAACGUAGAAACAAAUACUUCGUUUAAUCAGGUUGAAGUUAGAAACAAAUGCAGCGUUUGUACUAACAAACGACAAACUGCAGACGCAUUUUUAGUGUUUGCAUAGUUUGUCAAAGUUUAUGUAAACUUUG
RNAcentral lists this long non-coding RNA (861 nucleotides) under Mytilus galloprovincialis (Mediterranean mussel). Lineage: Eukaryota; Metazoa; Mollusca; Bivalvia; Mytilida; Mytilidae. The record is from RNAcentral.